GAUGAACGCUGGCGGCGGGCCUAAUACAUGCAAGUCGAGCGAACGCACGAGAAGCUCGCGCUCUUGAGGGUAGCGGCGGACGGGCGAGUAACACGUGGAUAACCUACCUAUAAGUCUGGGAGGACAUCGGGAAACCGGUGCUAAUACCGGAUAAUACUUCGAACCGGAGGAAUCAAAAGAGAAAGAGGGCCUUGCCGUCUGAUAUAGAUGGAGCCGCACUGCAUUAUUGAGUUGGUAAGGUAACGGCUUACCAAGGCAACGAUGCGUAUCCGACCUGAGAGGGUGAUCGGCCACACUGGAACUGAGACACGGUCCAGACUCCUACGGAAGGCAGCAGUAGGGAAUCUUCGGCAAUGGGCGAAAGCCUGAUCGAGCAACACCGCGUGGGUGAUGAAGGUCUUCGGAUCGUAAAGCUCUGUUAUUGGGAAAGAACAGAUGUAUGUGAAUCUGUGCCCGUCUUGACGGUACCUAAACAGAAAGCCCCGGCUAACUUCGUG
This 497-nucleotide ribosomal RNA is filed under the name uncultured bacterium. Its description in RNAcentral is "partial 16S ribosomal RNA". It matches the Rfam family "Bacterial small subunit ribosomal RNA", at positions 28 to 507 of the family's 1533-position model. The record is from RNAcentral.